This is a non-coding RNA of Ixodes scapularis (black-legged tick), 73 nucleotides long. NCBI's taxonomy places the organism in Eukaryota, Metazoa, Arthropoda, Arachnida, Ixodida, Ixodidae. The record is from Rfam.
GGUGGAGCGGUGUAGUGGUUAGCACAGUCGACCUGAUAUUGGGAGGCCCGGGGUUCAAAUCCCGACUCCGCCA